AACGUUGUAGUUUAUUAAAGAAUUUUGGGGUUGCAUUCCAAAGGUGGAUAUUUUCUCUUCGUUA
This 64-nucleotide transfer RNA is filed under the name Anthocephalum cf. caira DJM-2021. RNAcentral describes it as "tRNA-Ala". The record is from RNAcentral. Lineage: Eukaryota; Metazoa; Platyhelminthes; Cestoda; Rhinebothriidea; Anthocephaliidae.